AUUGAACGCUGGCGGCAGGCUUAACACAUGCAAGUCGAGCGGGGGAAGGUAGCUUGCUACCGGACCUAGCGGCGGACGGGUGAGUAAUGCUUAGGAAUCUGCCUAUUAGUGGGGGACAACAUCUCGAAAGGGAUGCUAAUACCGCAUACGUCCUACGGGAGAAAGCAGGGGAUCUUCGGACCUUGCGCUAAUAGAUGAGCCUAAGUCAGAUUAGCUAGUUGGUGGGGUAAAGGCCUACCAAGGCGACGAUCUGUAGCGGGUCUGAGAGGAUGGUCCGCCACACUGGGACUGAGACACGGCCCAGACUCCUACGGGAGGCAGCAGUGGGGAAUAUUGGACAAUGGGGGGAACUCUGAUCCAGCCAUGCCGCGUGUGUGAAGAAGGCCUUAUGGUUGUAAAGCACUUUAAGCGAGGAGGAGGCUACUUUAGUUAAUACCUAGAGAUAGUGGACGUUACUCGCAGAAUAAGCACCGGCUAACUCUGUGCCAGCCGCCGCCGUAA
This 501-nucleotide ribosomal RNA is filed under the name uncultured bacterium. RNAcentral describes it as "partial 16S ribosomal RNA". It matches the Rfam family "Bacterial small subunit ribosomal RNA", at positions 30 to 523 of the family's 1533-position model. The record is from RNAcentral.